RNAcentral lists this transfer RNA (68 nucleotides) under Methylobacterium currus. RNAcentral describes it as "tRNA-Arg". It matches the Rfam family "tRNA", at positions 1 to 61 of the family's 71-position model. From Rfam's summary of the family: Transfer RNA (tRNA) molecules are approximately 80 nucleotides in length. Their secondary structure includes four short double-helical elements and three loops (D, anti-codon, and T loops). Further hydrogen bonds mediate the characteristic L-shaped molecular structure. tRNAs have two regions of fundamental functional importance: the anti-codon, which is responsible for specific mRNA codon recognition, and the 3' end, to which the tRNAs corresponding amino acid is attached (by aminoacyl-tRNA synthetases). tRNAs cope with the degeneracy of the genetic code in two manners: having more than one tRNA (with a specific anti-codon) for a particular amino acid; and 'wobble' base-pairing, i.e. permitting non-standard base-pairing at the 3rd anti-codon position. The record is from RNAcentral. Lineage: Bacteria; Pseudomonadati; Pseudomonadota; Alphaproteobacteria; Hyphomicrobiales; Methylobacteriaceae.
GACUCCGUAGCUCAGCUGGAUAGAGCAGCCGCCUUCUAAGCGGCUGAUUGCAGGCUCCGCCGGACCCU